RNAcentral lists this ribosomal RNA (253 nucleotides) under uncultured bacterium. Its description in RNAcentral is "partial 16S ribosomal RNA". It matches the Rfam family "Bacterial small subunit ribosomal RNA", at positions 524 to 776 of the family's 1533-position model. The record is from RNAcentral.
UACAGAGGGUGCGAGCGUUGUUCGGAAUUAUUGGGCGUAAAGGGCGCGUAGGCGGUGCCACAAGUCACUUGUGAAAUCUCCGGGCUUAACUCGGAGCCUGCAGGCGAAACUGUGGUGCUGGAGUGUGGGAGAGGUGCGUGGAAUUCCCGGUGUAGUGGUGGAAUGCGUAGAUAUCGGGAGGAACGCCAGUGGCGAAGGCGGUUGCCUGGAGCUUUGCUGACGCUGAUGCGCGAAAGCGUGGGGAGCGAUCCGG